AUACGGAGGAUCCGAGCGUUAUCCGGAUUUAUUGGGUUUAAAGGGUGCGCAGGCGGCCAUUUAAGUCAGCGGUUAAAUCGUGGGGCUCAACCCCAUUCUGCCGUUGAUACUGGGUGGCUUGAUUGCGGUCGAGGUUGGCGGAAUUCGUUGUGUAGCGGUGAAAUGCAUAGAUAUGACGAAGAACACCGAUUGCGUAGGCAGCUGACCAGACCGCAAAUGACGCUCAUGCACGAAAGUGCGGGGAUCGAACAGGAUUAGAUACCCUGGUAGUCCGCACAGUAAACGAUGAAUACUUGUUUUCGGCGAUAUAAUGUCGGAGGCAAAGCGAAAGCGAUAAGUAUUCCACCUGGGGAGUACGCCGGCGACGGUGAAACUCAAAUGAAUUGACGGGG
This 392-nucleotide ribosomal RNA is filed under the name uncultured bacterium. RNAcentral describes it as "partial 16S ribosomal RNA". It matches the Rfam family "Bacterial small subunit ribosomal RNA", at positions 523 to 918 of the family's 1533-position model. The record is from RNAcentral.